RNAcentral lists this unclassified non-coding RNA (348 nucleotides) under soil metagenome. Its description in RNAcentral is "partial contains 5.8S ribosomal RNA, internal transcribed spacer 2, and large subunit ribosomal RNA". The stretch from base 1 to 120 matches the Rfam family "5.8S ribosomal RNA", at positions 35 to 154 of the family's 154-position model. The record is from RNAcentral.
GAUGAAGAACGUAGCGAAAUGCGAUAAGUAAUGUGAAUUGCAGAAUUCAGUGAAUCAUCGAAUCUUUGAACGCACAUUGCGCCCGCCAGUAUUCUGGCGGGCAUGCCUGUCCGAGCGUCAUUUCAACCCUCGCGCCCAUCUGGGCUGCGGUGUUGGGGACCGGCCUGCCCCCCCGGGGCGCGCCGCCCCCCAAAUUCAGUGGCGGUCUCGCUGCAGCCUCCCUUGCGUAGUAGCACACCUCGCACCGGAGCGCAGCGCGGCCACGCCGUAAAACCCCCGACCCCCAUGAGUUUGACCUCGGAUCAGGUAGGAAUACCCGCUGAACUUAAGCAUAUCAAUAGCGGAGGA